GAUGAACGCUGGCGGCGUGCUUAACACGUGCAAGUCGAACGAAGCACUUUAACCUGAUUCUUCGGAUGAAGGUUUUUGUGACUGAGUGGCGGACGGGUGAGUAACGCGUGGGUAACCUGCCUCAUACAGGGGGAUAACAGUUAGAAAUGACUGCUAAUACCGCAUAAGACCACAGAGCCGCAUGGCUCGGUGGGAAAAACUCCGGUGGUAUGAGAUGGACCCGCGUCUGAUUAGGUAGUUGGUGGGGUAACGGCCUACCAAGCCAACGAUCAGUAGCCGACCUGAGAGGGUGACCGGCCACAUUGGGACUGAGACACGGCCCAAACUCCUACGGGAGGCAGCAGUGGGGAAUAUUGCACAAUGGGGGAAACCCUGAUGCAGCGACGCCGCGUGAGCGAAGAAGUAUUUCGGUAUGUAAAGCUCUAUCAGCAGGGAAGAAAAUGACGGUACCUGACUAAGAAGCACCGGCUAAAUACGUG
Molecule: ribosomal RNA, 479 nt
Filed under: uncultured bacterium
Lineage: Bacteria
Description: partial 16S ribosomal RNA
Rfam family: Bacterial small subunit ribosomal RNA
Source: RNAcentral